Molecule: ribosomal RNA, 594 nt
Filed under: Ligia oceanica (common sea slater)
Lineage: Eukaryota; Metazoa; Arthropoda; Malacostraca; Isopoda; Ligiidae
Description: partial 18S ribosomal RNA
Rfam family: Eukaryotic small subunit ribosomal RNA
Source: RNAcentral
GAGCCUGCGGCUUAAUUUGACUCAACACGGGGAACCUCACCAGGUCCGGGCACCGGAAGGAUUGACAGAUUGAGGGCUCUUUCUCGAUUCGGUGGAUGGUGGUGCAUGGCCGUUCUUAGUUGGUGGAGCGAUCUGUCUGGUUUAUUCCGAUAACGAACGAGACUCUAACCUGCUAACUAGUCGGCGGAUCGCAUCCCCGCGACCCGCGUUGCGCUUUCACUGGGGCUUUGUCGCGAGUGGAAUAACGGCGCCCUUUGCCUCUUCCCUUCUCUCGGUCUCGGCGUUCCGUCGCGGCGGAGGAGCGGCGCUAGGUGGUGAGGGGGUGGGGGAGUGGGAUGCGGCAUGGGGAGGCGGUGGCUCAGGUCGCCGUCUUCCCCUUGUCGUACUCCCGCUCUUCUUCUCCCUUUUCCACCUUCGUCCCCCUUUCGUCGUUGCGGGUCAUCCGUCGUGGUUCGGGUUUGGGGAUUGGGUUCUGGGCGUCGCCUCUCCCCCCUUUGGAGGACGGCGCGGCCGGGGACGUCCGUCGCAACUUCUUCUUAGAGGGAUAAGCGGCGUCUAGCCGCACGAGAAAGAGCAAUAACAGGUCUGUGAUGC